GUACUUGCUUUGGCAGUAUAUAUACAAAAAUUUUAGAUACACAGAGAUGAUUAGAAUGGCUGUGCGCAAGGAUGACAUACUUAGCGAUCUGUGUGAUACACGCGUUU
This 107-nucleotide small nuclear RNA is filed under the name Stegodyphus mimosarum. Lineage: Eukaryota; Metazoa; Arthropoda; Arachnida; Araneae; Eresidae. The record is from RNAcentral.